AGAACACAACAUAUAAUUAACCGAUAAGCAUUAUAUAGAAGUUUGGCAAAAAGAGGAAAUCAAAAUCCUAAUUAUUAUUAGAUGCAAUGUUCUUACUAAUAAGACCCCCCGAUGGGUGGAAGAGUACGAUAAUAGGUAUCUAAGACGGUAUCGAAAGUCUUUAAAAUUAAACUAUAUAACUAAAACAAUAUGGCUAAAUUAAGAGCACACAAGAUCCACACGCCUUCCAUAUGAACACAUCCCUCGAUCCUCGAACUCGACUCCAACUUUACGACUCGUGCUCGGGAUUGAAA
RNAcentral lists this long non-coding RNA (293 nucleotides) under Erythranthe guttata (spotted monkey flower). RNAcentral describes it as "long non-coding RNA (EGUT_LNC002577)". The record is from RNAcentral. Lineage: Eukaryota; Viridiplantae; Streptophyta; Magnoliopsida; Lamiales; Phrymaceae.